UACGUAGGUGGCAAGCGUUGUCCGGAUUUACUGGGCGUAAAGAGCGCGCAGGCGGUCGUUCAAGUCGCGUGUGAAAGCCCCCGGCUCAACUGGGGAGGGUCACGCGAUACUGAUCGACUCGAAGGCAGGAGAGGGUAGUGGAAUUCCCGGUGUAGUGGUGGAAUGCGUAGAUAUCGGGAGGAACACCAGUGGCGAAGGCGGCUUCCUGGACCUGUUCUGACGCUGAGGAGCGAAAGCGUGGGGAGCGAUCCGG
This 253-nucleotide ribosomal RNA is filed under the name uncultured bacterium. RNAcentral's name for it is "partial 16S ribosomal RNA". It matches the Rfam family "Bacterial small subunit ribosomal RNA", at positions 524 to 776 of the family's 1533-position model. The record is from RNAcentral.